GGGCCGCAGCAGGCGCGAAAACUUUACAAUGCGAGAAAUCGUGAUAAGGGAACCCCGAGUGCCCGUAAAUUCGGGCUGUCCGCCAGUGCAAAAAACUGGUGAAGAAAGAGCCGGGCAAGACCGGUGCCAGCCGCCGCGGUAAUACCGGCGGCUCGAGUGGUGGCCACUAUUACUGGGCUUAAAGCGUCCGUAGCUUGGUUGUUAAGUCUCCUGGGAAAUCCAUCGGCUCAACCGAUGGGCGUUCAGGAGAUACUGGCAACCUAGGGACCGGGAGAGGUGAGAGGUACUCCAGGGGUAGGAGUGAAAUCCUGUAAUCCUUGGGGGACCACCUGUGGCGAAGGCGUCUCACUAGAACGGCUCCGACAGUGAGGGACGAAAGCUGGGGGAGCAAACCGGAUUAGAUACCCGGGUAGUCCCAGCUGUAAACGAUGCGCGUUAGGUGUAUCGGUGACCACGAGUCACCGAGGUGCCGAAGAGAAA
Molecule: ribosomal RNA, 480 nt
Filed under: uncultured archaeon
Lineage: Archaea
Description: bacterial SSU rRNA
Rfam family: Archaeal small subunit ribosomal RNA
Source: RNAcentral